Molecule: ribosomal RNA, 466 nt
Filed under: uncultured bacterium
Lineage: Bacteria
Description: partial 16S ribosomal RNA
Rfam family: Bacterial small subunit ribosomal RNA
Source: RNAcentral
GAUGAACGCUGGCGGCGUGCUUCACACAUGCAAGUCGAACGAUGAAGUCAAGCUUGCUGGGUGGAUUAGUGGCGAACGGGUGAGUAAUGCGUGAGUAACCCCCCCUUGACUCUGGGAUAAGCCUGGAACACUUGGUCUAAUCCUGGAUAUGCCUUCUCAUCAUACUGUUGUGGCUGGCUAGAUUUCCUGGGCUUGGAUGGACUCGCGUCCUAUCAGCUUGUUGGUGAGGUAAUGGCUCACCAAAGCGACGGAGGAUAGCCGGCCUGAGAGGGAGGCCGGCCACACAGGGACUGAGAGACGCACCAGACGCCUACGUGAGGCAGCAGGGGGGAAGGUUGCACGAGGGGCGCAAGCCUGAUGCAGCGACGCCGCGUGAGGGAAGACGUCCUUCGGGUGGGGAGCCUCGUUCAGUAAGUAAGAAGCGAGCGUGACGGUACCUGCAGAAGAAGCGCCGGCUAACUACGUG